ACAAAUGAUCUAAAUAUCUCAGGGCCUUGCAUAAGACCUAGUGAACAAUUUUUGGAGACCCUAUUCUCAGGAAUAGGGUG
RNAcentral lists this small nuclear RNA (80 nucleotides) under Caenorhabditis brenneri. Its description in RNAcentral is "sRNA CBN33873". It matches the Rfam family "SmY spliceosomal RNA". The record is from Rfam by way of RNAcentral. Lineage: Eukaryota; Metazoa; Nematoda; Chromadorea; Rhabditida; Rhabditidae.